AUUGAACGCUGGCGGCAGGCCUAACACAUGCAAGUCGAACGGAGUGGCGGACGGGUGAGUAAUGUCUGGGAAACUGCCUGAUGGAGGGGGCUAACUACUGGAAACGGUAGCUAAUACCGCAUACUAUCAGAUGAGCCUAGGUCGGAUUAGCUAGUUGGUGGGGUAAAGGCAUACCAAGGCGACGAUCCGUAACUGGUCUGUGAGGAUGAGCAGUCACACGGGAACUGAGACACUGUCCAGACUCCUACGGUAGGCAGCAGUGGGGAAUAUUGGACAAUGGGCGAAAGCCUGAUCCAGCCAUGCCGAGUGUGUGAAGAAGGUCUUCGGAUUGUAAAGCACUUUAAGUUGGGAGGCGUUACCAACAGAAUAAGCACCGGCUAACUUCGUGCCAGCAGCCGCGGUAAUAC
RNAcentral lists this ribosomal RNA (407 nucleotides) under uncultured bacterium. RNAcentral's name for it is "partial 16S ribosomal RNA". It matches the Rfam family "Bacterial small subunit ribosomal RNA", at positions 30 to 526 of the family's 1533-position model. The record is from RNAcentral.